CCUACGGGAGGCAGCAGUGGGGAAUAUUGCACAAUGGGGGAAACCCUGAUGCAGCGACGCCGCGUGAGUGAAGAAGUAAUUCGUUAUGUAAAGCUCUAUCAGCAGGGAAGAAAAUGACGGUACCUGAGUAUGAAGCCCAGGCUAAUUACGUGCCAGCAGCCGCGGUACUACGUAGGGUGCAAGCGUUAUACGGAUUUACUGGGUGUAAAGGGGGCGUAGACGGCGGUGCAAGUGUGGAGUGAAAGGCCGGGGCUCAACCCCCGGACUGCUCUGGAAACUGUACGGCUGGAGUGCAGGAGAGGUAAGUGGAAUUCCUGGUGUAGCGGUGAAAUGCGUAGAUAUUAGGAGGAACACCAGUGGCGAAGGCGGCUUACUGGACUGUAACUGACGUUGAGGCUCGAAAGCGUGGGGAGCAAACAGGAUUAGAUACCCCAGUAGUC
Molecule: ribosomal RNA, 440 nt
Filed under: uncultured bacterium
Lineage: Bacteria
Description: partial 16S ribosomal RNA
Rfam family: Bacterial small subunit ribosomal RNA
Source: RNAcentral